ACGGGGGGAGCAAGCGUUGUUCGGAUUUACUGGGCGUAAAGGGCGCGUAGGCGGCCACGACAAGUCACUUGUGAAAUCUCCGGGCUUAACUCGGAACGGUCAAGUGAUACUGUCGGGCUAGAGUGCAGAAGGGGCAACUGGAAUUCUCGGUGUAGCGGUGAAAUGCGUAGAUACCGAGAGGAACACCUGCGGCGAAGGCGGGUUGCUGGGCUGACACUGACGCUGAUGCGCGAAAGCCAGGGGAGCGAACAGGA
RNAcentral lists this ribosomal RNA (254 nucleotides) under uncultured prokaryote. RNAcentral's name for it is "partial 16S ribosomal RNA". It matches the Rfam family "Bacterial small subunit ribosomal RNA", at positions 525 to 777 of the family's 1533-position model. The record is from RNAcentral.